This 527-nucleotide RNase P RNA is filed under the name Candidatus Kuenenbacteria bacterium CG1_02_38_13. RNAcentral's name for it is "RNase P RNA component class A". It matches the Rfam family "Bacterial RNase P class A". From Rfam's summary of the family: Ribonuclease P (RNase P) is a ubiquitous endoribonuclease, found in archaea, bacteria and eukarya as well as chloroplasts and mitochondria. Its best characterised activity is the generation of mature 5'-ends of tRNAs by cleaving the 5'-leader elements of precursor-tRNAs. The record is from RNAcentral. RNAcentral also lists the same sequence under 1 other name. Lineage: Bacteria; Candidatus Kueneniibacteriota.
CAAGCAAAUCAAGUGGUUGCCCCUCGCAUAGUCUUCGCUUCUUCAGUCAAAUAAAUGAUUCAACCAGUAAAAAAUAUUGGAUAGCAGAGACUAUGCGAGGGGAGGAAAGUCCGGACACCCUCCGAUCCAAAAUCGGAGUCAUGGCAGUCGUAAAAGCGACCGAGUAUAAGAAGUACGAUAAAAGAUAUACGAUCGUAAUUUUUUAUCGGACAACUUUAAAACCCAGGGAAAGUGCCACAGAAAAUAUACCGCCCUUCACAUAUUUUUCUUUUUUGUUUUACAGAAUCUCAAUUAUCAAGAAGAAAAAUACGUGAAGGGUAAGGGUGAAAAUGCGUUCCGUUGUAAAAUGCGGAAUCUUGAGCUUUUGUCUCAAGAGGGUAAAAGCCCACACAUCUCUAUGGCGACAUAGAAAUGCGGAAAACCCUGCCUGGUGCAAGAGCUCAAAGACAGCUCGCUAAGAUAGAUGACCACACUAUCGCGCUACGGCGCAAAAUAGAACAGAAUCCGGCUUAUGAUUUGCUUGGAUU